UGCACUAUAGUUUAAAAAAAACAUUAGAUUGUGAAUCUAAUAAUAGAAGUUUACUACCUUCUUGUGUAC
This 69-nucleotide transfer RNA is filed under the name Bos taurus (domestic cattle). It matches the Rfam family "tRNA". From Rfam's summary of the family: Transfer RNA (tRNA) molecules are approximately 80 nucleotides in length. RNAcentral also lists the same sequence under 1 other name. The record is from Rfam by way of RNAcentral. Lineage: Eukaryota; Metazoa; Chordata; Mammalia; Artiodactyla; Bovidae.